Trichogramma pretiosum is the source of this 3432-nucleotide RNA transcript. RefSeq lists it as uncharacterized. The record is from RefSeq and is a predicted model, not a curated record. NCBI's taxonomy places the organism in Eukaryota, Metazoa, Arthropoda, Insecta, Hymenoptera, Trichogrammatidae. The transcript is spliced from 6 exons.
CAUGUCUCGCGCUAGAUCAACGAUACCAGUCAAGUCUAAUUAGUUAACCAGGAGACAUGCAUUACUUGGUUUUCGCAACGCUCCUGCUCAUCACUCAAUUUCUUCAAGUCCUCGCCGACUGCGGGCUCAAAGUCAAAACGAGCUUUCACGACAAAUCACCGCUGCUGCUGGAUCAUGAGCUGAAUUUCAUCUAUCCGCCGUCAAGCCAUCCAGAGUGGGUGAGAUUGCGAUGGUUUCAAGACCGCCUCGUCUACUGCCCGGGUGGGACCAUACAUCUCGGUGAGAAUCGGCAGUUGCUGGCGAGGGACGAAACACCCUACAAUUUGCCACCUGUUGUGCGCUGCAUCAAGGACGCCAUACUCGAAUUAGAGGACCAAGAUCACGUUCGAUUCAACUUGGAAUUUUUGUCGUGCAACGUUAAUCCCGAGGUCGUAGAUUGGGCCACUGGUGAGACUUGCGGCAGGGGCAGCGUACAACAUCUCGGCUUUCCACUUGAUUCGCAAAUCGCCAAGCCGUCGAUCAAGCUGUGCUACGUCAACGACGUGGCAACGACUACUUGGGCUUACAGCGUCAUACCGGCCGCGAUCGAAAACAGACAGGUCAUCAAGAGCAACAAGGAGACGUUCAGCAAAGGUAAGCUCUUCGAGGAUAUUACCGUGGCCAAGUACUACGUGGGCUGCGUACAAGUCGAGACUUUCAUGGACAUAUUUCGCGAAGAAGGCCAGGAUAGCUACGACAUGGACGACGGCAGAGAGCCGACCGAGGAAGAAAGAAAAAAGAAGCAGCAGCGAGAAGACGAGCUAAGAGACUAUGUUAGCCGAUACAUUCGUCCCAUGAUAGCGAAGAAAAAAAAGACAGAUCCUGAGGUCGACGACGACAAAAUGUCAGAUACGGAUGUCCCCGCCGCUGCCGCUGCCCCUGCUCCCGAUGCUUCAGACGACAAACUGCCUUUGAACUAUCUCGUGAAGGGUCACCUCAUAGCUAAAGCCGACAAGUUUUACGCAGCCGAGCAGUACGUGACGUAUUUCUACGCCAACGCCGUGCCCAUGUGGAACAGCAUCAAUAACGGCAAUUGGAAGCACAUGGAGGACAAGAUAGUGAGGCCAUUGGCGGCCACGAAGGGCGACAUCGAGGUUUGGGUCGGGGCUUUCGGAGUGCUUCGGCUCGAGGGUAAAGACAUUUAUCUGGGAAAACGCAAGAGGCAAGAGCAUCCGGUGAUGCCCGUGCCCAAGAUCCUAUUCAAGGUCGCCUACAGUCGGCAAUCGAAUCAAGGACUCGUCUUUUUGGCCGCCAACAAUCCGUAUCUGGAGGAUGCGCAGGUGGCCGAUUACAUAGUUUGUCCUGAGUAUCCUCGUUGUCGCGAGCUCCACGACAAAUUCAACAACAAGGACAAGGGCUUCAUGUACUGCUGCUCCAUACCUGACUUUUUAGCCAAUCCGGAGGUGCAGACUCUUGGCCUGCCGAUCGGCGUGCCCAACGACAUUGCCCCAAUUCUAUAAUGAUCCGAGGUGCGGUGGCGCAAGCACCGAACUCUAAGAGCCUGGCAUAAAAUGUUUCUUUCAAUUGCAUUAGUUCAUUCGUAUGCGUUGAUCUUUCUAUUUACUUUAUUCCGAUCAUUUUAUUCACAUGCUAUCUUGUUAUGUAUGCAUUGCAAAACAAGUUCGGAACACGCCUCGAUGAAUGAUAGCCAAAUAAGUAAAUUAAAAAAAAAAUACGUUCAUGAUUUUUUCAAACGAGUAUGCCGAGCUAGAAUAGUAUUUUUAUUUCUCAUUAUCAAUAGUCUGAACGCAGAUGUAACACGAGAAGCAAGCUUCGAUAUUGUUUUACCUUCGUGGAUAUUACAACUGCGCACUGAUUCGAUUAUGCCACUAAGUCAAGUUCAAGGAUGGAUUAUAUAAGUUUAUUUUCAUAUACAGUUUUUUCUUGCUCGCUCGAAUCCAGAAUAAUUUAACUACAUCUUUAGCAAGAUGCAAAUCAAUUACUUGAUUCUGCAUUGAAGAAACGGCAGUAGUAAUCAUGUUAAUAGAAGGAAAUUCUUGAAAUCAACAUAAGAUACACAAAAUCAGUAGAGGGGAUGACAGAAGAGUCGGCAGUUUAUUCAAUUUGGCGACUAAAUAACAGUUUUCCGUCGUAUUGAAAGCGGCUCGGAGCUAUUAAUUCGUUAAAGUGUUUCUGGUCAAAAACUAAAGUGAAACCAUGUCUCUCGAAUAUUGUGAGUUAAAAUUCCUCGAUGCCGUUGGUGCGCAAAAUUUAGAUUUAAUGGAAUCCUUAUUAAAAAGAGGUACCGACCCAAAUGCGGUUGUUAUCGAUUUUGACUGGACAGCUCUGCAUUUUAUAUGUUCUGAACAUAAGUUCACGAAGAUCCAUUUGAAAAUGAUUCAAUUUCUUAUCCAGUAUGGUGCCGACGUAAAUAUACAAGAUGAAGAUGGUAACAGUCCGAUGAUGAUUCUGUUUAAUAAGGAAUAUAAUGAAUCUAAUGAUAUGGGAUUACGCAUCGAGGCAUUGGAAUUACUACUGAAAAACGGAGCCGAUGUCACACUCGUCAACAACGAUAGUGAAACUAUAUUCAGAAAUAUUAUUCUUUGUAAUCCAGCAAAUCCAGACACUGCAGUGGCGCUUGAAGUGCUUUUGAAAAACGGCGCUGAUCCAAAUAUGGUUGAUGGCGAAGACAUGACAGCUCUGAAUUUUUUAUGCAAUCAACCUUGCUUUACAAAAGUCCACUUAAAAAUGAUUCAAAUUUUAAUUCAGUAUAAUGCCGACGUUAAUAUCCAAGAUCAAGGCGGUCACAGUCCUAUAAUGAAUUUAUUUCGUGGGGCAAAAAAUUACAAAUUACGCUUAGAAGUUUUCAAGUUAUUACUUGAAAACGGAACUGAUGUCACACUUGUCGACCACCGGGGUGAUACAAUAUUACAUAUUAUCUUUUACUACAAUGCAGCAAAUAAUCCAUUCCUUCUAGAAGCAGUUGAACUGCUGUUAAAAAGUGGAAUAGACGUAAAUAUCAAAAAUGAUGACGGAUAUUCUGCAUUUCAUGAAGCGAAUAGUUACUUGAAACACCGAAAAGUAAUCGAACUACUUUUGAAAAAUGGUGCCGAUCCGAAUGGGAUGGUUGACAAUAGCAUGCCACCUACAGAUUUUUUAAGUUUUUAUUGGCAAUCGAAAAUGGGGUGAGCGUGAAUAUACAAAAUGAAGUCAUCAAGUUUUUAGGCACUGUGGACUUAGUAUCUGUAUAUAAAGUAGUUAUAAAUUAUAAAUUUUCAAUCCGAUACACAUAUUGAUGUAAUUGUUAUAUAAGUUCAUCGUUGUAAACGAGUAAAAUGAAAACAUUGAAUGGUUCAACAGUCUCUCAUGUGAAAUCGUUCAUACAUGUAGACGACAAGUCAUAAUUAAAAUUUACAUGAAUUAUUAAAAAAAAAAUCAUACUUUUGCAUGCAA